RNAcentral lists this unclassified non-coding RNA (141 nucleotides) under uncultured fungus. RNAcentral describes it as "sequence contains ITS1, 5.8S rRNA gene". Lineage: Eukaryota; Fungi. The record is from RNAcentral.
CCUAGAGUUGCGGGCUUUGCCUGCCAUCUCUUACCCAUGUCUUUUGAGUACCUUCGUUUCCUCGGCGGGUUCGCCCGCCGAUUGGACAAAACUUAAACCCUUUGUAAUUGAAAUCAGCGUCUGAAAAAAACAUAAUAGUUA